GCUCUCCCUGUCCAGCCGCCUGCAGCUGACCCUGUACCAGUACAAGACGUGUCCCUUCUGCAGCAAGAAAGGUGCCCAUCCUGGUGGCCCAGGAAGGAGAAAGCUCGCAACAACUAAAUGACUCCUCUGUCAUCAUCAGCGCCCUCAAGACCUACCUGGUGUCGGGGCAGCCCCUGGAAGAGAUCAUCACCUACUACCCAGCCAUGAAGGCUGUGAACGAGCAGGGCAAGGAGGUGACCGAGUUCGGCAAUAAGUACUGGCUCAUGCUCAACGAGAAGGAGGCCCAGCAAGUGUAUGGUGGGAAGGAGGCCAGGACGGAGGAGAUGAAGUGGCGGCAGUGGGCGGACGACUGGCUGGUGCACCUGAUCUCCCCCAAUGUGUACCGCACGCCCACCGAGGCUCUGGCGUCCUUUGACUACAUUGUCCGCGAGGGCAAGUUCGGAGCCGUGGAGGGUGCCGUGGCCAAGUACAUGGGUGCAGCGGCCAUGUACCUCAUCAGCAAGCGACUCAAGAGCAGGCACCGCCUCCAGGACAACGUGCGCGAGGACCUCUAUGAGGCUGCUGACAAGUGGGUGGCUGCUGUGGGCAAGGACCGGCCCUUCAUGGGGGGCCAGAAGCCGAAUCUCGCUGAUUUGGCGGUGUAUGGCGUGCUGCGUGUGAUGGAGGGGCUGGAUGCGUUCGAUGACCUGAUGCAGCACACGCACAUCCAGCCCUGGUACCUGCGGGUGGAGAGGGCCAUCACCGAGGCCUCCCCAGCGCACUGAAUGUCCCCGCGCAGAGCAGAGGGAAGGCAGCGGAAGACGCCAGCUGCCAGGGCCUGGGGCCACUGGGCCAGCGCCUGGCGAUACUGGUUGGGGGCAGGAUCAUUCUGCCCCUUGUCCACGCACCCCCACCAGCCCUCUCGCUUCUAACACAGGGCACCUGCUGGGGCUCAGGGAUGUUAGGGACGAGUUCCAGCCCUGCCACUGCCCUGGGGCGACCCCUCCCUGUCCCUGCCUCCCUGCUCUGCCGCCCCUCUUCCUGGACCCUCAGUGGCUGUCCCAUGGCUACAUCCUGUGGGUGGGGGCCCUCGACAGGACAGCAGGACGGUUUGUUUUCAGUGGAAUCCCAUCCCUGGGUUCCCCUGGUUCCCACUCUUCCCAAGCCUCCCGGGACUGGGACAUGUUUGCAAUAAAGGAAAGGUUUGUGGCGCCUGUCAUGGCAGGCAUCUCAUGGAGCUCCGUGUGGCUGAGUGCUGCGUGGGGCUGGCGGUCAAGGGAGGCAUCAGGCUUGGGCUGUGCCAGCCCUUGUGGUAACUAACCGCUGGCCUGGGGCUUCCCAGGUGUCAGGCACGGUACGGCUCCGCAGGCUUUGUGUGGCAUCGUCCCCAGGAUACCACUCAGGGCACACAGCUGGGCCGUGGAGCCCAGCAGCCAGAGUGCAGGUCGGGGCACCCUACCCACGGUGGGGCUCUGCAGUGGGGUCACUCAUCAAGCCUCAGUUUCUUCGUCUGUCCCCGCCUUGUGGGAGAGUUCAGUGAUAGGAGCAGGUGCAGUGCACAGAGCCGGGUCACCUGGUCCAGGGCACCAGGCUAUUCAGACCCCUGCUCUACAGACAGAACCAAGCCCUCUCAGGUGGCGGCCCCGGGCUUCAGCUCCAGGCUGGGCCAGGCUUUAUGGGAGAAGAGGCUCUGCCUUCCAGGAUCCUGGGUUUUGCUGUGUUACCCAGGCUGGUCUCGCACUCUAGGGCUCAAGGGAACUGCCCGCCUCAGCCUCCCGAAGUGCUGGGAUUACAGGAGUGAGCCCCGACGCCCAGCCAGGAAACUUUUAAAGUUUUAUUUUCUUUAUUAGUAUUUUUAAAACAAAAUAACUCAUGUUCCUGUAAUAGCUACCAUUUGAGUAAGGUAGAAGUGAGCGCUCGAGGCAGGGAGUGUGACGUUUGGAAGCAGGUGGCUGUGCAGUUGGUGACCUCCGUUUUUCCCACGGGGUUGGUCUGCCACCGGCUGUGUUCUCAUCCCCAUCCUGGGCGUCUGCCUGUCGGCGUAUGUCACAUUGGCUUGUUCUCAUGGCGCAUAGUGCCCUGCCGCCUGGAUGCACCACAGUCCUUCAGCCAGCCCCCACUGUGUGCCCUCUGUGGGUGUUAACUCCAGGUACUUGGGCUGCAGGGUAGAGGAGGCAGCCAGGCCUGAGGCUGUGCCCAUCUGUGGCCUUAGGAGUCACAGCAGCCGCUUCUGAGAGGCCAACAGGUAUCAGGGCACCCAGAGCCACCACUGUGUCCAGAACGGCAUUUCCACUUCACUGGCCAGGUCUAAAGUCCUGAGGGGCCUUUGCUCCAGGGACCCAGGGUACCUCCCUCAGCAGGGCAGGAACUAGGCCAGGAAUACCAUGGGGCACUGAAGGAGGAGCCUCCCUCUAUCCCUGUAACCCUCCAUCCCUGUACCUCUCCAUCCCUCCAUCCCUGCACCCCUCCGUCCCUGUGCCCCUCUAUCUCUCCAUCCCUGCACCCCUCCAUCCCUGUACCCCAUCCCUGUACCCCUCCGUCCCCCAUCCCUGCACCCCUCCAUCCCUGUACCCCUCCAUCCUUCCAUCCCUGCACCCUCCAUCCCUGUACCCCUCCAUCCCUCCAUCCCUGUACCCCUCCAUCCUUCCAUCCCUGCACCCUCCAUCCCUGUACCCUUCCAUCCCUCCAUCCCUGCAUCCCUCUGUCCCUGCACCCCUCCAUCCCUCCAUCCCUGCACCCCUCCUUCGUUGUACCCCUCCAUCCUCCAUCUCUGCAUCCCUGCACCCCUCCAUCCUCCAUCCCUGUACCCUUACAUUCUCCAUCCCUGCAUUCCUCCAUCGCAGCAUCCCUGCAUGCCUCCGUUCUCUGCAUCCCUCCACCCCAGUAUCCCUGCACCUCUUCAUCCCUCCAUUCCUGCAUCCCUCUAUUUUUCCAUCCCUCCAUUCCUGUAUCCCUGUGCCCUCCAUCCUCCAUCCCAGCAUCCCUCCAUCCCUGCUCCCCACUCUCACUUCCCUUCCCUUCACAGACAGGCUUUUCCUGCCAUCCUCAGACCCCACCCAGGGUUACCUGAUGCCUUUCCAGCUGCACACGGGGACUGACUCACCUCUCUCUUUCUCAGUCCCAAAGUCCCGAAAGAGAGCAUCUGAUGUGGUCAGCUUGUGACAAGGCGUCCACCUUCUGUCCAUGACAUGGAGGCCAGGGGAAGGUCUCACUGCCCAGCACCCCACCCUGUGCUCCCAGGCCUUUUGAAUGUUCCUCCUGCUCAGCCCAGUGACUGCGGGCUGUGGCUCCUCCUCCAGCCUCCCCUCGAGGUCCUGGUCUUACUUAGGAGGCCCCGGGUGUAGAUGCCUUCCCACCCACCAGGCAUUGCCCCUUUUCCUGGCUUCACAGACUCGGGAAUAAAGUUUCCUUCUGUUUCCCCUCUUGCAGAAGGAGAUCCGGUUGGCAGCUAAACCGCGCUGGGAACAGGGGCCUGAGUCCUGGACUAGGGCUCUUUCCCCGGGGCUGCUGCAGAUGGGGAGGAGCCUACACCCGCCUCCCGAGUGCUAAUCAGACCUGACAGGCUGGAGAAUGGCCAGUCAGCCUGAGGCCACCGCGGGACACCACCUAGGCCCAGCUUCUCCCCCCACCAGAGGGCGCCAGAGCCCGCCAAGCCUCGUAGGAGAUGGCAACAGGGCCUGCUGCUGCCACCUAGCGGCCAAUUCCGGGAAUGAAUCUCGGCACGCUCAUUACCCAGCGACUCUGCCCAUCUUGACCCUUUAUGUGAAGCAGAACAGCCGCUUCCGCAGUGAGCUGUCAGAAGGCGUCGUGCCUGUCUUGCUAGUGGGGAAACUGAGGCUCAGAGAGGCAGAAGACUUGCCCAAGAUCACACCACCGGGACCCAGGAUUCAAGCGCAGGCCUGCCCAGGCUCUCUGUGGCCUCCUGGCUGCGAGGAGGCAGCCAGGGACCAGGUGCCACCCUUCUGAGACACCUGAGAUCCCAGGCCCGAGAGGAUGAAGGCGGGAUUACCUGGAGCGUGUCUGAAUGCUGGAGGAAGAAGGGCAGCUGGGAGAUGAAGCUGUCAGGAUGGGCCGCAUCCCAUUUCCUGCCUCGUUUCAGUUCAACUUUCCAACAGACCUCCCUGGCUCGUCUUGCUCUUCUCUAAUGGACAAACAAACAGGCUCAGAGAGGUGGUGUGACUUGCCCAAGGUCACUCAGCUUGGAUGCUAUGGAACAGGGACGUCCACUGUCCCAGUCUGUUUAUGGGAAGCCGCUCUGCAACUGUCCUGACCCACCACAUGCCCCACCGCUGUUUCUCUUGCCCUGACCCCUUGUUCCCUGGACCAGGGUGGCACAGCUCCAGGCUCUUGGGCCCUUCCCGAGGGCAGGCACCUGUGACUGUGUCCCCAAAGACCUGAGUGGCUGAGGGGGCCCCACAGAGCUUGGACUUCCUGGAGGACAAGGAGGGGUCUGCCAGCCACCCCCACCACGCCCGCCCCAGGGCUCCCCUGGAGCUUCCAUGCCAGCCGGACUCAGGACCCCUGUGAUCACACUGGCCCCCCCACCGGAUGACCCAGGAUAAUCCAUCUCCCUGUUUGAAGGUCGGCUGAUUAGCAACCUUCAUUCCAUCUGCCUCCUUCAUUCCCCCUGGCCAUGUAAUGGGAUUCACAGCUUCUGGGGAUUAGGACAUGGACAUCUUGUGGCGGGGGCAUAAUUCUGUCGACGACACCAAGAAACACUUGGAUGUUAAGGAUUCACCGAACACUGUUCAGGCUGAGGCAGGAGAAUUGCUUGAACCUGGGAGGCAGAGGUUGCAGUGAGCCGAGAUCAUACCAUUGCACUCCAGCCUGGGCAACAAGAGUGAACCUCCAUCACAAAAAACAAACAACAAAAAAAAUCAGGUAUAAUUACAUACAGUGAAACAUAUGGUGACUCAAGUACACAGUUCAGUGUUUUUUUUGUUUUUGUUUUUUUUUAAGAUGGACUCUUGCUCUGUCGCCCAGGCUGGAGUUCAGUGGCGCGAUCUUGGCUCACUGCAACCUCUGUCUUCCAGGUUCAAGCAAUUCUGCCUCAGCCUCCCAAGUAGCUGGGACUACAAGUGCACGCCACCAUGCCUGGCUAAUUUUUGUAUUUUUAAUAGAGAUGGGGUUUUUUUUUCUUUCUUUUUUUUUUUUUUUGAGACAGGGUCUCACUCUGUCACCCAGGCUGGAGUGCAGUGUCACAAUCUCGGCUCACUGCAACCUCUGCCUCUUGGGUUCAAGCAAUUCUUCUGCCUCAGCCUCCUGAGUAGCUGGUAGCUGGGACUAUAGGCACGUGCCACCACACCCAGUUAAUUUUUUGUAUUUUUAGUAGAGAUGGGGUUUCACCGGGUUAGCCAGGAUGGUCUCAAUCUCUUGACCUCGUGAUCUGCCCGUUUUGGUCUCCCAAAGUGAUGGGAUUACAGGCGUGAGCCACCGCGCCAGGCUGAGAUGGGGUUUCACCACGUUGGCCAGGCUGGUCUGGAACUCCUGACCUCAGGUGAUCCGCCUGCCUUGGACUCCCAAAGUGCUGGGAUUACAGACGUGAGCCACCGUGCCCGGCCAGUUCUAUGAGUUUUGAUGAAUGUGUCCUGCUUCUUCCCAGGCUCCACCAUCUCUUCCCCUAAAGGCAACCACCAUUCUGAUUUCUCUCACCAAAGACUGGAAAAAUAUCCCAAUACCUGGAUGUAUGCCUCACGUGUCCCGCUGGCCCCAGCACCCAGGUAUAGUUAGUUACUGCUGUGCCUGGCUUCACUCUCACUUUUUUUUUUUUUUUCUUUUUUUGAGACAUAGUCUCGCUCUGUAGCCCAGGCUGGAGUGCAGUGUGGCACAAUCUCAGCUCACUGCAACCUUCACCUCCCAGGUUCAAGCGAUUCUCCUGCCUCAGCCUCUCGAGUAGCUGCGACUACAGGUGCCCACCACCACACCUGGCUAAUUUUUGUAUUUUUAGUAGAGAUGGGGUUUCACCUUGUUGGCCAGGCUGGUCUCGAACUCCUGACCUCAAGUGAUCCACCUGCCUCAGCCUCCCAAGGUGCUGGGAUUGCAGGCCGGCCUUACCUGGUAUGGUUUUUAGGUUCAUGUUGAUGCCUGGAGUUUCAGUAAUUCCCUCCCAUUCGUUGCUGAGUAGCACUGCAACACAUGCAGGCAGCUAUUUGGGGAUCUUUUCACCUGUUGAUGGGUGUCUGGACUGUUUCCAGUUUUUGGCUGUUACAAAUGAAGCCUCUGUGAGCCACGUACAAGUUCUUCUGUGGAUGUUUUCAUUUAGGGAAAGGGGUAAAUAGGAGUGGAAGUGCUGGGUCACAGGGCAAAUGUCCAUUUGAGUUUAUUAGAAACAAUUCUCCAAAAUGAUUGGCAUUUUACCUUGUACUAGCAGAGUCUAGGAGUGUGGCUGCUCCCAGAUUCUCAUCAAACUACAGUGCUGACAUCUUUAGUUCUAGGCCUUCUAGUGUGGAUGCACUGGUAUCUUGUUAAAUGCUUUUAACUGUUUUGGUAGAGAUGGGGCCUUGCUGUAUUGCAUAGUCUGGUCUUGAACACCUGGCCUCAAGUGAUCUCCAGCCUCACCCUCCCGAAGUGCUGGGAUUACAGGUGUGAGCCACUGCUCUGGGCCUCAUUCAGUGUUUUGCUUCUCCCUGACAACUAAUGGAGUUAAGCUCGUUUUCAUGUUUAUUGGCCAUUAAGUCAUCUUGCUUUUGGAAGUGCCAAUUGUUAACUGGCUUGUCCUCUUCUUUUUGCCUUACACAGUUAAUACAUGCUGGAGAUUACAUGUACUGCAAAGAUUUUCUCCUAGCCGGUGACUUGUCUUUUUCGUUUUUGUUUCUGUUUUUUUUUUUUUCUUUUUUUUUCUUUUCUUUUUUUCUGAGAUGGAGUCUCCUCGCUCUAUCGCCCAGGCUGGAGUGCAGUGGCAUGAUCUCAGCUCACUGAAACCACUGCCUCCCGGGUUCACGUGAUUGUCCUGUCUCAGCCUCCCGAGUAGCUGGGAUUACAGGCAUGCGCCACCAAGCACAGCUAAUUUUUGUAUUUUUAGUAGAGAUGGGGUUUUGCCAUGUUGGCCAGGCUGGUCUUAAACUCCUGACCUCAGGUGAUCCGCCCACCUCGGUCUCCCAAAGUGCUGGGAUUACAGGCGUGAGCCACCGCGCCUGCCCAGCUUAUCUAUUCAUUGGAGGAUCUGAGUGACAUGAGAAACUUAGGUUUUCUUUUUUUGAGACAGAGUCUUACUCUGUCGCCCAGGCUGGAGUGCAGUGGCAUGAUCUCGGCUCACCACAACCUCUGCCUCCUGGGUUCAAGCCAUUCUCCUGCCUCAGCCUCUGGAGUAGCUGGGAUUAUAGGCACCUGUCAUCACACCUGGCUAUCCACUUAGGUUUUCAAAGGGCCCCUUGGUCUUGGGGUGGAGAGUGAAGGGAAGCAGGGGGAAGAAGUUUAGGUCUUGCAAUCAUCCAGGUGAGACAUGAUAUUGUCUUUGAUCAGUGGCAGGGGUGGAGGUCGGGAGAAGCGGCCAGAGAGCAGAUCUAUUUUGCGGGUGGGGCUGACGGUAUUUGCUGGUGGACUGCCCUGGAACCAGAGGGAAGUACAGAGUCAGGUUGACUACAAGGUGUUUGGCUUAAGUUCGUAGAAGAAAGGAGUUGCCAUUUGCUGGCAUGAGGAAAAUGAAGAAGCAGAUUUUGGGAGGAAAAUGAAGGGUUCGGCUUCUGACAUGCUGAACUCGAGGUGCUGUUUAAGUGGAUGUGGAUUUCACAGUUGUACUGAUGAAGCUGGAAUUCGUUCAAGUAUCAAAGGAGUGUCAUCUAAAUAUAGAUAUUGAAGGUAAUCCUCAGUCAGAUGAGGUUACUGAGAGGGUGUGAGGAGGCAGGAGCGGGGUGAGGCUGGGAGGGGCAGCUGGGGGGAGGGGAGAGAAGCCCAGCGACGUCCUCGGUGUCUGUGAAGAUGGCACUUCCGGCGGAGGGAGAGAUCCCCCGCACCCUGCCUGAGACAGGCUGAGGAACGACCCUACACAGCAACUCAGGGCACCCCAAAUCGAACACGCAACCAUUAAAGAGGGAGCGCCUCUAAGAAGCCGAAAGGGGGCACCACCAGGCUCCAGAGGGGAAAACAGGGCGCAUUUUCUAACAUGUCAGCACCCCCAGACCACCCAGGCCCCCGUCAGAAAAAUACUGGCUCCAUGAUCAGCUUUGAAACAACUUUAUUAGAAGGCUGCUUUAAAUGACAACUUCUAACGUCCAAUUCUUUCUUAAUUUGCUUUUUGACGACUCCAGUUAUAUGUUCAUAUAUAACAAUUUUUGCAUUGAUCUUUGCAUCCUAUUGAAGAUUUCCUCAUCAGGUCAUUCUGGUGGAAUGGAAGUGCAACCGUGAGGUCGCCAGUUGGCCGGCAUUGUUAAGCAAGGGCAGCAGAAGGCUGGGAGGGACGGAGCCAGUCCCCCACCCUCUCCUCCAG
RNAcentral lists this long non-coding RNA (8404 nucleotides) under Homo sapiens (human). RNAcentral's name for it is "non-protein coding SLC25A25-AS1:21". The record is from RNAcentral. Lineage: Eukaryota; Metazoa; Chordata; Mammalia; Primates; Hominidae.